RNAcentral lists this ribosomal RNA (292 nucleotides) under uncultured Planctomycetota bacterium. RNAcentral describes it as "uncultured planctomycete partial 16S ribosomal RNA". Lineage: Bacteria; Pseudomonadati; Planctomycetota. The record is from RNAcentral.
GGACUACCGGGGUAUCUAAUCCCGUUUGCUCCCCUGGCUUUCGUGCCUCAGCGUCAGUUGAGACCCAGUGUGUCGCUUUCGCCACCGGCGUUCCUUCCGAUAUCAACACAUUUCACCGCUCCACCGGAAGUUCCACACACCCCUGCCUCACUCCAGCCAUCCAGUUUAGGGCGCAAUUCCCCGGUUGAGCCGGGGGCUUUCACACCCUACUUAGACAGCCGCCUACGCACCCUUUAAGCCCAGUGAUUCCGAAUAACGUUUGCACAGUUCGUAUUACCGCGGCUGCUGGCAC